AUUCGUCGCCUACAAGCCUCCACGGACACCGCCAUAGAGCACGUAUUUAUUCUUCCUUUAUCCGAGAACAAAACCCUAAUCGGAAAAACCCCCUGAAAAAACAAAACAAAAAAUUAAAAAAGAAAAAGAAAGCGAUGUCGUACGACGACGUGGAGAUCGAAGACAUGGAGUGGAACGAGGAGUUACAGGCGUACACGUACCCUUGCCCGUGCGGCGAUUUAUUCCAAAUCACGAAAGACGAGCUCCGAAUCGGCGAGGAAAUCGCCCGGUGCCCCAGCUGCUCUCUGUACAUCACCGUUAUUUACAACAUCGAAGACUUCCUCGACAAUAAAUCAAAAGAAAAGCUCGA
This 349-nucleotide long non-coding RNA is filed under the name Citrus sinensis (sweet orange). RNAcentral describes it as "long non-coding RNA (CSIN_LNC002342)". Lineage: Eukaryota; Viridiplantae; Streptophyta; Magnoliopsida; Sapindales; Rutaceae. The record is from RNAcentral.